RNAcentral lists this long non-coding RNA (296 nucleotides) under Parus major (Great Tit). RNAcentral's name for it is "lncRNA (ENSPMJG00000001427.1)". Lineage: Eukaryota; Metazoa; Chordata; Aves; Passeriformes; Paridae. The record is from RNAcentral.
ACAGAACCAGCAGGACUGUGAAGACUUUUGGCUGCAGUUUCCACUGGGCUGUGAUAGUUAACAGCUCAAAAAAAAACCUGAGGAUAUAAAAUCAAAAACCGUGUCUUCCAAAAGUCUGCCUUCUGGUGCCUUUGUAAGAACCAUUAUGGAGCAGCUGGCCCUGGUUUCUCUAAGCAGAGGAUUUGAGCAGUUGAAAGAGGUAAAUUAGUGCAGAAUACAGCUCGAUGGAAAGAAAAUACAUAGGAUGAGAAGAGACUGAAGCAUAAAUGGUAAAACAUCAUGGGGUCCUCUCAGAA